RNAcentral lists this ribosomal RNA (492 nucleotides) under uncultured bacterium. RNAcentral's name for it is "partial 16S ribosomal RNA". It matches the Rfam family "Bacterial small subunit ribosomal RNA", at positions 29 to 507 of the family's 1533-position model. The record is from RNAcentral.
AGUGAACGCUGGCGGUAGGCCUAACACAUGCAAGUCGAACGGCAGCACAGUAAGAGCUUGCUCUUACGGGUGGCGAGUGGCGGACGAGUGAGGAAUACAUCGGAAUCUACUUUUUCGUGGGGGAUAACGUAGGGAAACUUACGCUAAUACCGCAUACGACCUACGGGUGAAAGCAGGGGAUCUUCGGACCUUGCGCGAUUGAAUGAGCCGAUGUCGGAUUAGCUAGUUGGCGGGGUAAAGGCCCACCAAGGCGACGAUCCGUAGCCGGUCUGAGAGGAUGAUCAGCCACACUGGAACUGAGACACGGUCCAGACUCCUACGGGAGGCAGCAGUGGGGAAUAUUGGACAAUGGGCGCAAGCCUGAUCCAGCCAUACCGCGUGGGUGAAGAAGGCCUUCGGGUUGUAAAGCCCUCUUGUUGGGAAAGAAAAGCAGCAGGUUAAUACCCCGCUGUUCUGACGGUACCCAAAGAAUAAGCACCGGCUAACUUCGUG